AGAGUUUGAUCCUGGCUCAGGAUGAACGUUGGCGGCGUGCCUAAUACAUGCAAGUCGAACGGUAAGGCGCCCUUCGGGGUGCUGGAGAGUGGCGGACGGGUGAGUAACACGUAACUGAUCUGCCCUUUAGACUGGGAUAACCUUUGGAAACAGAGGCUAAUACCGGAUGAUAAAUCGGUAGUUAGAGAGCCGGUAGUGAAAGUGAAAGCGCUAAGGGAUGAGGUUGCGGGCCAUCAGCUAGUUGGUGAGGUAAAGGCUCACCGAGGCGAUGACGGCUAGGGGACCUGAGAGGGUGGCCCCCCACACUGGGACUGAGACACGGCCCAGACUCCUACGGGAGGCAGCAGUAAGGGAUAUUGCACAAUGGGCGGAAGCCUGAUGCAGCGACGCCGCGUGGGUGAAGAAGGUUUUCGGAUCGUAAAGCCCUUUUCUAUGUGACGAGGAAGGACGGUAGCAUAGGAAUAAGUGUCGGCUAACUACGUGCCAGCAGCCGCGGUAAAACGUAGGACACGAACGUUAUCCGGAGUUACUGGGCGUAAAGAGCGCGUAGGCGGUUGAUUAAGUUACCUAUGAAAGAUACCGGCUAAACUGGUAUAAGUUGGGUGAAACUGGUCG
RNAcentral lists this ribosomal RNA (615 nucleotides) under uncultured Chloroflexota bacterium. Its description in RNAcentral is "bacterial SSU rRNA". It matches the Rfam family "Bacterial small subunit ribosomal RNA", at positions 8 to 639 of the family's 1533-position model. Lineage: Bacteria; Bacillati; Chloroflexota. The record is from RNAcentral.